RNAcentral lists this ribosomal RNA (497 nucleotides) under uncultured bacterium. Its description in RNAcentral is "partial 16S ribosomal RNA". It matches the Rfam family "Bacterial small subunit ribosomal RNA", at positions 28 to 507 of the family's 1533-position model. The record is from RNAcentral.
GAUGAACGCUGGCGGCGUGCCUAAUACAUGCCAGUCGAGCGAACAGACGAGGAGCUUGCUCCUCUGACGUUAGCGGCGGACGGGUGAGUAACACGUGGAUAACCUACCUAUAAGACUGGGAUAACUUCGGGAAACCGGAGCUACUCCCGGAUAAUAUAUUGAACCGCAUGGUUCACUAGUGAAAGACGGUUUUGCUGUCACUUAUACAUGGAUCCGCGCCGCAUUAGCUAGUUGGUAAGGUAACGGCUUACCAAGGCAACGAUGCGUAGCCGACCUGGGAGGGUGAUCGGCCACACUGGAACUGAGACACGGUCCAGACUCCUACGGGAGGCAGCAGUAGGGAAUCUUCCGCAAUGGGCGAAAGCCUGACGGAGCAACGCCGCGUGAGUGAUGAAGGUCUUCGGAUCGUAAAACUCUGUUAUGAGGGAAGAACAAAUGUGUAAGUAACUAUGCACGUCUUGACGGUACCUAAUCAGAAAGCCACGGCUAACUACGUG